Molecule: ribosomal RNA, 371 nt
Filed under: uncultured organism
Description: partial 16S ribosomal RNA
Rfam family: Bacterial small subunit ribosomal RNA
Source: RNAcentral
GUAGGUCCCGAGCGUUGUCCGGAUUUAUUGGGCGUAAAGCGAGCGCAGGCGGUUAGAUAAGUCUGAAGUUAAAGGCUGUGGCUUAACCAUAGUACGCUUUGGAAACUGUUUAACUUGAGUGCAAGAGGGGAGAGUGGAAUUCCAUGUGUAGCGGUGAAAUGCGUAGAUAUAUGGAGGAACACCGGUGGCGAAAGCGGCUCUCUGGCUUGUAACUGACGCUGAGGCUCGAAAGCGUGGGGAGCAAACAGGAUUAGAUACCCUGGUAGUCCACGCCGUAAACGAUGAGUGCUAGGUGUUAGACCCCUUUCCGGGGUUUAGUGCCGUAGCUAACGCAUUAAGCACUCCGCCUGGGGAGUACGACCGCAAGGUUG